GGGGGCGAACUGGGUUCGACGGGAAGGAAAGUGGCAUCGGUGGCGGGUCGGGUGGCGCCCGUUAACAGCCAACCCAAAUAAGUGCGGCUCCUGUCGCUCUGGCUGCGUAAUUGACGCAGCAGCCCGCCUGAGGCUCGCUCGGCGGCUUCAGGGUCGGGUUCAGACCGCCGAGUGCGCUUCCGCUGACGCCCGCUAAGCGGAAGCAAAGAAAGAAGCGGGCUGGGCAACUGACAGCCUGCCGCUGGGCGGUCGGUUGCCGAGAGAUAAAACAGCGGCUACGCCCGUAGGCACCGAUGUCGCCGCCUUCUCGGACGCGGGUUCAAUUCCCGCCGCCUCCACCA
Molecule: transfer-messenger RNA, 341 nt
Filed under: Armatimonadota bacterium
Lineage: Bacteria; Bacillati; Armatimonadota
Rfam family: transfer-messenger RNA
About the family: Bacterial tmRNA, also known as 10Sa RNA or SsrA, is named for its dual tRNA and mRNA-like properties. Its role is to liberate the mRNA from a stalled ribosome. To accomplish this part of the tmRNA is used as a reading frame that ends in a translation stop signal.
Source: RNAcentral